UCCAUCAGCUGACCUGCUGGGAGUGUUCUC
Molecule: non-coding RNA, 30 nt
Filed under: Rattus norvegicus (Norway rat)
Lineage: Eukaryota; Metazoa; Chordata; Mammalia; Rodentia; Muridae
Source: RNAcentral